CUCAAUGGCGGGCCGGACAGGGGCGCUGCAAAGCGCGCUGGUGUCAGUGAGGCCAGUCGUUCCAACCUUGUUCGGUUCCGCCACCAGC
Molecule: non-coding RNA, 88 nt
Filed under: Enterobacter asburiae
Lineage: Bacteria; Pseudomonadati; Pseudomonadota; Gammaproteobacteria; Enterobacterales; Enterobacteriaceae
Also listed under: 1 other name
Source: RNAcentral